This 460-nucleotide ribosomal RNA is filed under the name uncultured bacterium. RNAcentral describes it as "partial 16S ribosomal RNA". It matches the Rfam family "Bacterial small subunit ribosomal RNA", at positions 338 to 795 of the family's 1533-position model. The record is from RNAcentral.
CCUACGGGCGGCUGCAGUGAGGAAUAUUGGUCAAUGGGCGGAAGCCUGAACCAGCCAAGUCGCGUGAGGGAAUAAGGCCCUAAGGGUCGUAAACCUCUUUUGUCGGGGAGCAAGGGCCGGGACGCGUCCCGGCCCGGAGAGUACCCGGAGAAAAAGCAUCGGUUAACUCCGUGCCAGCAGCCGCGGUAAUACGGAGGAUGCGAGCGUAACCCGGAUUUAUUGGGUUUAAAGGUUGCGUGGGCGGGCUUUAAAGUCGGCGUUAAAAAUUCGGGGCUCAACCCCGUCCGGCCGUUGAAACUGGGAGCCUUGAGUGGGCGAGCAGAAGGCGGAAUGCGUGGUGUAGCGGUGAAAUGCAUAGAUAUCACGCAGAACCCCGAUUGCGAAGGCAGCCUUCCGGCGCCCUACUGACGCUGAGGCACGAAAGCGCGGGGAUCGAACAGGAUUAGAUACCCUAGUAGUC